UACUGCCUUGGAGUGGGGAAUAACGGCUGGAAACAGCCGCUAAUACCGCAUGAUGCAUCUGAGUCGCAUGGUUUGGAUGCCAAAGAUUUAUCGCUCUGAGAUGAGCUCGCGUCUGAUUAGCUAGUUGGCGGGGUAACGGCCCACCAAGGCGACGAUCAGUAGCCGGACUGAGAGGUUGGCCGGCCACAUUGGGACUGAGACACGGCCCAGACUCCUACGGAAGGCAGCAG
This 230-nucleotide ribosomal RNA is filed under the name uncultured bacterium. Its description in RNAcentral is "partial 16S ribosomal RNA". It matches the Rfam family "Bacterial small subunit ribosomal RNA", at positions 124 to 354 of the family's 1533-position model. The record is from RNAcentral.